UAUAUUUUAGUAUACGAUGUACUUAAAUUUUUGAUAUUUAGCGAAAUAGUUUAAUUCUAUUAAAUAUAG
Molecule: transfer RNA, 69 nt
Filed under: Staphylinidae sp. BMNH 1274696
Lineage: Eukaryota; Metazoa; Arthropoda; Insecta; Coleoptera; Staphylinidae
Description: tRNA-Gln
Source: RNAcentral